UCGCACCCACACUCGCUGGGUUCGGGUUUUUCACCCAAAUCCGAAACCCGUAAUAAGAACACGCAUAAUUGAUUAUCUGCUCAAACCCGACCCGAACUAUAUUUGAUAAAAUGCAAAAUGUAGCAUAAUACAUAGGGGUAAAUCGGUAAUUUAAUAUAUAAACGGGUGGGUGAAUGAGUUUCAGAUGUGGGUUUGAUACUACCCAAACCCACACCCAUAUAUUCGGGUGCCACCCGAACCCAAACCAGUCAACUCGGGUUUCUCCCGUUGACUUGGGUUUGAGUUCGGAUGGGUCUAUCGGGUUUGAUUUUUCCUGCCAUCCCUCAUGUCCGAGAAACCCUACUUUUUAAAUUCAUUGAAAAUCUAAUGUAUUUAGCCCAUAUUAUAGAAUAUGUAUAUUAUAUUCUCAAUGAAUCUAAAAAGGUAAAAUUUAUCUUAUAUUAAGAAUCGGACAGACUAUUCAAAAGAUCCAUAAUAUUAAUUUCAACAUUGAAAAUUUGAAACAUUAUAUCACAACACUUUGUAAAUCUAAAUAAGAUCUAUAACUAUGGUAAACAAAAUUAAAUAAGAUCUAUAACAUAUCCAAACAAAGGGGGCGAUGAUUAUAAUGAGAGAGGCCUUUAGUAGGAAAAUACCCAAUUCCCUCACAAAAUCACAAUCCAUUUUCUACCAAAAUAUAACAUAUCCAAACAAAUAUACAAAGAGUGUACCAUAGAUUAAUAUAUUUAUAAUGAUAUAUCUAUGUAAAUGGUGGUUGCUUCAAUGAUAAAUAAAGAAGAAAAAUAAAACGAAAU
RNAcentral lists this long non-coding RNA (794 nucleotides) under Trifolium pratense (red clover). RNAcentral describes it as "long non-coding RNA (TPRA_LNC014222)". Lineage: Eukaryota; Viridiplantae; Streptophyta; Magnoliopsida; Fabales; Fabaceae. The record is from RNAcentral.